Molecule: ribosomal RNA, 253 nt
Filed under: uncultured bacterium
Lineage: Bacteria
Description: partial 16S ribosomal RNA
Rfam family: Bacterial small subunit ribosomal RNA
Source: RNAcentral
GACGAACCGUCCGAACGUUAUUCGGAAUCACUGGGCUUAAAGGGUGCGUAGGCGGCGCGGAAAGUUGGGUGUGAAAUACCUCGGCUCAACCGAGGAACUGCGCCCAAAACUACCGUGCUCGAGGGAGAUAGAGGUGAGCGGAACUUAGGGUGGAGCGGUGAAAUGCGUUGAUAUCCUAAGGAACACCGGUGGCGAAAGUGGCUCACUGGAUCUCUUCUGACGCUGAGGCACGAAAGCUAGGGGAGCGAACGGG